This 460-nucleotide ribosomal RNA is filed under the name uncultured bacterium. RNAcentral's name for it is "partial 16S ribosomal RNA". It matches the Rfam family "Bacterial small subunit ribosomal RNA", at positions 338 to 795 of the family's 1533-position model. The record is from RNAcentral.
CCUACGGGUGGCAGCAGUGAGGAAUAUUGGUCAAUGGACGAGAGUCUGAACCAGCCAAGUAGCGUGAAGGAUGACUGCCCUAUGGGUUGUAAACUUCUUUUAUAAAGGAAUAAAACGAGGUACGUGUGCCUUUUUGCAUGUACUUUAUGAAUAAGGAUCGGCUAACUCCGUGCCAGCAGCCGCGGUAAUACGGAGGAUCCGAGCGUUAUCCGGAUUUAUUGGGUUUAAAGGGAGCGUAGAUGGGUUGUUAAGUCAGUUGUGAAAUUUUGCGGCUCAACCGUAGAAUUGCAAUUGAUACUGGCAGUCUUGAGUACAGUUGAGGUAGGCGGAAUUCGUGGUGUAGCGGUGAAAUGCUUAGAUAUCACGAAGAACCCCGAUUGCGAAGGCAGCUUACUAAACUGUGACUGACAUUGAUGCUCGAAAGUGUGGGUAUCAAACAGGAUUAGAUACCCGAGUAGUC